This is a non-coding RNA of Equus caballus (horse), 650 nucleotides long. NCBI's taxonomy places the organism in Eukaryota, Metazoa, Chordata, Mammalia, Perissodactyla, Equidae. The record is from RefSeq and is a predicted model, not a curated record.
AGUGGCAGGAAGAAGAAAGCUCUUAGUAGACAUACAGAGAAUAAGGUUAUUGUGUUAAUACGCUUUAUCCUCUAGGACGUCGCCUCUGUCAGGGGUUUGUUCUGCACUCAGAACCUCUGUGGCCCUUAGCCUGGUCACACAGCUAGUGAGUGAUGGACUCAAGAUUCAAAACGUGGUCCAAAGCUGGUGCUCCUCGCCUCUUCUCUACCCUGGGGAUACGAUGGCUGCAGGCAGGACAAGCCCACGCCCAGGGGUCAGAGCAUGGAGAAUCACCGGUCAUGUUAGCCUCCAACCUGUUAGGUGAAUUGAGGACAGCUACGACUGCAGCUGGGACCCCGAUGCUGGGGAUGAGAACUUGCAUAUUUAAAAUGAUGCUGAGAGAGGAGGAGGAAUGAUGGAUGAGCUCAGGAAGAUGUGAUGGCUUCUGCAAUGACACUAGUAAAUAGAAUACAGAAUCCAGCUCCCGUACUUAUGAUUGGAAACUAACUACAAACAAGCAAGAUUUCCUAAGAAAAAGAGAUCUGCAGUAAUUGUCCAUGGUGGAAAAAUGAAGCACAGAUAUCUAGAUGUGGAAUGCUGGAUUGUAAAUAUAUGUUUAACUCUAUAAGAAGCCACCAAACUGUUUUCCAAAUGGCUCUACCAUUUUCCAU